UUAACACAUGCAAGUCGAGGGGAAACGACAUCGAAAGCUUGCUUUUGAUGGGCGUCGACCGGCGCGCGGGUGAGUAACGCGUAUCCAACCUGCCCACCACUUGGGGAUAACCUUGCGAAAGUAAGACUAAUACCCAAUGAUAUCUCUAGAAGACAUCUGAAAGAGAUUAAAGAUUUAUCGGUGAUGGAUGGGGAUGCGUCUGAUUAGCUUGUUGGCGGGGUAACGGCCCACCAAGGCGACGAUCAGUAGGGGUUCUGAGAGGAAGGUCCCCCACAUUGGAACUGAGACACGGUCCAAACUCCUACGGGAGGCAGCAGUGAGGAAUAUUGGUCAAUGGACGAGAGUCUGAACCAGCCAAGUAGCGUGCAGGAUGACGGCCCUAUGGGUUGUAAACUGCUUUUAUAAGGGAAUAAAGUGAGUCUCGUGAGACUUUUUGCAUGUACCUUAUGAAUAAGGACCGGCUAAUUCCGUGCCAGCAGCCGCGGUAAUACGGAAGGUCCGGGCGUUAUCCGGAUUUAUUGGGUUUAAAGGGAGCGUAGGCCGGAGAUUAAGCGUGUUGUGAAAUGUAGACGCUCAACGUCUGCACUGCAGCGCGAACUGGUUUCCUUGAGUACGCACAAAGUGGGCGGAAUUCGUGGUGUAGCGGUGAAAUGCUUAGAUAUCACGAAGAACUCCGAUUGCGAAGGCAGCUCACUGGAGCGCAACUGAC
Molecule: ribosomal RNA, 709 nt
Filed under: uncultured Bacteroidales bacterium
Lineage: Bacteria; Pseudomonadati; Bacteroidota; Bacteroidia; Bacteroidales
Description: bacterial SSU rRNA
Rfam family: Bacterial small subunit ribosomal RNA
Source: RNAcentral